RNAcentral lists this unclassified non-coding RNA (2619 nucleotides) under Acanthaster planci (crown-of-thorns starfish). Its description in RNAcentral is "glycerophosphodiester phosphodiesterase domain- containing protein 5-like, transcript variant X1". Lineage: Eukaryota; Metazoa; Echinodermata; Asteroidea; Valvatida; Acanthasteridae. The record is from RNAcentral.
UUGGGACAAAAAUCAGAAGACGGACGGGCUGGUUUCGCUCAAGUUUACUUCCGCAUUUUACCGCAUUACUAACCUGGAGUUAGUUUAUAUGUGGCAGCCGAGUAGGCCACGUCGUGCACUCGCUCAGGAUUAGGCCUCGGUGACUAACUCUUCUGAUGAAGUGUUUUGACGAGCUUUUCAAACACACGGACAAUGAUGACAAUUACGCUCACUAAACGAAAGUCGCGCUUAAUCUGAAUCACGGGUCGCUGUUGAAAACUACCUCGACGUUAGAGGAGCAGAUUGCUGUCUAAAUAGCUGUCGAACCGUCUGUAGGACAGGAAACUCCUUUACAAAGAGCUGAUCUGUGUGAGCUGAAUCGACAGAUUAAUUGUUCUCAUCGAGACAAUAAGAUGACUACAUGCCGUGGGUGCUGGGCGUCUUUAGUUACCGGAUGUUAUGGAUGUCGCACCAGGAAAGAUGUUGAAAACAAAGAAGCAACGAAACUCACGGAGAGGCUGUGGUUCAUCUUCGUGCUGUUAGUGUCUUUCACGUCACUGGCUAACAUGUUCUUCUGGUUGGCCGCAGUCAAUGACUCAUCCGACUUCAACAGAGACCUUGCUGAGAUGACAGGCCUGUGGUGGCGCUAUUACAUCUUCUUUAUGGCCUUGUCGUGUGCACUCAGCAGCUAUGCCGUUCUACUUUUGAUGUUCGCAUUUUUACACAUUGCUAUUGGACAGAAGUUACAGCUUCAUGGAGCGCACAAGAUUGGUCUGAUUCUGGAUCUUAGCUUGUCAGUUGCACUGUUAGUAUUUCCGUGUGCCGUGCUAGGAUCAAGCUCUCUAUGGCAUUUCCUACCACAGGCGCUGCAGUUUACAGGACCUUUUCUGCAUCUUGUUGGUGUGGUAAUCAUGACUGGGUUAAGUUGGUUUGUUGCUGGAGGAAUGGGCACCCUCCAACGGAAAGGAAUUCCAGUUCGUGAUGUAGCUUUAUGGUAUUUCCUCGUUCUCAUCGGUCUCUACAUUUCACCCGUCUUCAUCCGUUCACCAUGCCUGCUUAAGUAUGACGAGCUACCACCCAAGCCCCUGGUGUUUGCCUAUAGGGGUGCUGAGCAACUAGCACCAGAGAACACACUCAUUGCAUUUGAGCUUUCCCUUGAUGUCUACAAUGCCCAAGGUAUCCACACUGAUGUACGCGUAAGUUAUGAUGGCGAACCGUACAUCAUGCGUGAUGACAAACUCACCCGUACAACCAACGUGGAGGACGUGUUCCCUGAGCGCUACGCAGAUCAUUCAGAUAGCUUUACAUUGGCAGAGCUGAAGCAGUUGAACGCAGGGUCCUGGUUUAUUACGUGUAACCCAUUUGGGACUACUAGCAGGCUGACGGAGCUUGAAAUUAUACGUUACAGAAAGCAGAAAAUUCCCACCUUGAGGGAAAUGUUACUUCAGGUCAAGGGGAGAAACAAGACAGUAUUGCUCGAUGUCCGCACACCACCUGAUGACCAUCCUUACUCCGAGGAUUGGUUGAACAUAACGUUGCAGGUUAUACUGGAUUCGGGCGUCGCCGAAGAGGACGUGAGUUUCUGGAAAGCACCUAAUAAUGACACCAAGUACACGUUUGCAAUAAACACGUUCGAUGAACGAAGACUGAUGACAACGUAUAACGACAUACCUUUCUUCCAAAUAAGGAGUGAUGCAGCGUUGAAUGUAACAACAAACGUUUGGACAGUCAACGAAGAUUGGCUGUUUUCCUUAUUCUGGUGCGCAGGCGCAACCUCCAUAUCCACGUCAUCGUGUCAAAGGGUACGAAUAGGCGACGGCCCUUUGUGGCAGCUGGUAAGCAUGUUGAGGUUUUCCCACAUAAAGCGUUUCCUUCUGUAAAGGCAAUAUGAUUUGUUUGUCGUCAGAAUCAAACCAUAGCGCAAUCAAACCCAGCCGUGCCAAGCUUCAUCUAACCAAUUCAUUCUUGUAGGAAUGAUUCUCAGCACGUUUUCUGCCCUUACAACCUUGUUCUCAUUUCAUUUGUUGUCCUCAUGCAUACUAUCCUUGUUCCCUGUUGGCUGAACCAUUUCCCUCUGUUUUACAAUGACAAUUUGAUGACUCGCCUAAUUGACGUUCAACCUUUUCCAUACAACCUUGAGUUCAAUUUAUCGCAUUUUUCCAAUCUGGCGGAUGUUGUUCUCUUUGCAAGCAGGAUUUGUUGAUCAAAUUCAGUCGAGUUAAUUGCUCGUUAUAUUCGAGUGACUUCUACUGGCUCGCGAGACCUAAUGAGCAGAAAACAUCGAAAUGGAUGCAAAAAAUUCAACUAGCCCUUACCUCCACCCAACUAGAGCCAACAAAACACGGAUGGACGGUAACAGUGAUAACCCAGUAGUAAAUCACAUACCCGAUAUGUCGGUCAUGCUGGCAACUUAAUCGAAACACACCGUACCGACUAAGCCGUGUACUUCCAUCCUGACAGUCAUAAGAAGGCUGGUGUGAUCACACUUUGAGCAUGCUGCUUCGUGUCAUUGCCACAACCAGUGAUUCAGUUGGUGAAGGGAGAAAUAAAAACGCUUGUCAGAGCCCGCUUCACUAUCGGAUAAUGUGGAUUCUUUUUGAUGUAGUCUCCUUUAUCUGGGUGAUAAUUAUCUUUAUCAUU